This 169-nucleotide non-coding RNA is filed under the name Rubeoparvulum massiliense. The record is from RNAcentral. Lineage: Bacteria; Bacillati; Bacillota; Bacilli; Caryophanales; Bacillaceae.
UUAGGUGCCGUAAUAGGGCUUAAUAGGGAAGUUGGUGCAAGGCCAACACUGUCCCCGCAACUGUAUAUGAGGACGAAAUGAGCUGUCACUGUCUAAGAUUAGGUGCAAGCCAUUUAGAUGGGAAGACCUCAGAGUAGGAAGAUCCAUAAGCCAGGAGACCUGCCUAACC